This 375-nucleotide ribosomal RNA is filed under the name Actinomycetota bacterium. RNAcentral's name for it is "bacterial SSU rRNA". It matches the Rfam family "Bacterial small subunit ribosomal RNA", at positions 1 to 374 of the family's 1533-position model. Lineage: Bacteria; Bacillati; Actinomycetota. The record is from RNAcentral.
UCUACGGAGAGUUUGAUCCUGGCUCAGGACGAACGCUGGCGGCGUGCUUAACACAUGCAAGUCGAACGGUGACCUCAGAGCUUGCUCUGAGCGAUCAGUGGCGAACGGGUGAGUAACACGUGAGUAACCUACCCCCUACUCUGGGAUAACUCCGGGAAACCGGUGCUAAUACUGGAUACGACCCAAGCGGGCAUCCGCAUUGGGUGGAAAGUUUUUCGGUGGGGGAUGGACUCGCGGCCUAUCAGCUAGUUGGUGGGGUAAUGGCCUACCAAGGCGACGACGGGUAGCCGGCCUGAGAGGGCGACCGGCCACACUGGGACUGAGACACGGCCCAGACUCCUACGGGAGGCAGCAGUGGGGAAUAUUGCACAAUGG